AACGAACGCUGGCGGCAGGCCUAACACAUGCAAGUCGAGCGCCCUUUCGGGGGAGCGGCGGACGGGUGAGUAACGCGUGGGAAUAUGCCCUUCUCUACGGAAUAGCCUCGGGAAACUGAGAGUAAUACCGUAUACGCCCUGUGGGGGAAAGAUUUAUCGGGGAAGGAUUAGCCCGCGUUGGAUUAGGUAGUUGGUGGGGUAAUGGCCUACCAAGCUGACGAUCCAUAGCUGGUUUGAGAGGAUGAUCAGCCACACUGGGACUGAGACACGGCCCAGACUCCUACGGGAGGCAGCAGUGGGGAAUCUUAGACAAUGGGGGCAACCCUGAUCUAGCCAUGCCGCGUGAGUGAUGAAGGCCUUAGGGUUGUAAAGCUCUUUCAGCUGGGAAGAUAAUGACGGUACCAGCAGAAGAAGCCCCGGCUAACUCCGUG
Molecule: ribosomal RNA, 431 nt
Filed under: uncultured bacterium
Lineage: Bacteria
Description: partial 16S ribosomal RNA
Rfam family: Bacterial small subunit ribosomal RNA
Source: RNAcentral